AUAACGUGGUCAUUGAAAGAAAUUGAUAUUAUACCAGUUGUGGUAUAAUAUCAAUAGGUAACAACAGGGCUUAUGAAGAAGAACCUGAAGAAAUAUCUUGAGGUAAUCCCUGGUCACCCAAGUGCCCAUGAGGUGCCAAUAUCUGCAGUUAAAGGAGCAGUCACAUCUUGAAGAGAGCCCUCGGAUACAAGUCUAGGGUGCAACUUUAGACCCCAGGUCUGGGGUCCACUGCAUUCUAUGAAAAGAAAUUCCAAGAUAAAUGAAA
Molecule: long non-coding RNA, 265 nt
Organism: Thalassophryne amazonica
Lineage: Eukaryota; Metazoa; Chordata; Actinopteri; Batrachoidiformes; Batrachoididae
Exons: 2
Source: RefSeq, a predicted model, not a curated record